GGGGGGGGGGGGGGGGGGGGUGGGGGGAGGCAGGGCGGAGGGGAAGGGGGGGGGUGGGGGGGGGGGUCGGGUGGCGAGGGGGGGGGUGACGGGGGGGGAGGCUGGCCGUGACUUGGGGAUGAGGUCAGGAAACUGGGGAUAAUACCGGAUAGGAGCUCCUGCUGGCUGGUGGGGGUUGGAAAGUUUCGGCGGUGGGGGAUGGCCUGGCCGCGUAGCAGCUUGUGGGUGGGGUAGUUGCUUACCAAGGCGUUGCCGGGUAGCCGGCCUGAGAGGGUGAGCGGCCACAUUGGGACUGAGAGACGGCCCAGACUCCUACGGGAGGCAGCAGUGGGGAAUAUUGCAAAAUGGGCGGAAGCCUGAUGCAGCAACGCCGCGUGCGGGAUGACGGCCUUCGGGUUGUAAACCGCUUUCGCCUGUGACGAAGCGUGAGUGACGGUAAUGGGUAAAGAAGCACCGGCUAACUACGUG
This 468-nucleotide ribosomal RNA is filed under the name uncultured bacterium. RNAcentral's name for it is "partial 16S ribosomal RNA". The stretch from base 59 to 468 matches the Rfam family "Bacterial small subunit ribosomal RNA", at positions 39 to 507 of the family's 1533-position model. The record is from RNAcentral.